Molecule: long non-coding RNA, 715 nt
Organism: Bos taurus (domestic cattle)
Lineage: Eukaryota; Metazoa; Chordata; Mammalia; Artiodactyla; Bovidae
Source: Ensembl
AAGAGCAAGCUCUCAGGUGUCUUUACUCAUUAAAUCACUAAUCCCACCACGAGGGCCCCACCCUCCUGACCUCACCUAACCCUCUUCACCUCCCAAAGCCUCCACCUCCUAACACCAUCAUCACACUGGGGGUGGCUUGAGAAGCGCCAGACCAGCAGACAAGAGGUCUGAAGGCCCGGGACACAGGAAAAGUGAACUUCUUGCUGCUGCUGCUGCUGCUAAGUCACUUCAGUCAUGUCCGACUCUGUGUGACCCCAUAGACGGCAGCCCACCAGGCUCUCCUGCCCCUGGGAUUCUCCAGCAAAGCACGGCUGUAUUUUGUACAGAGGACACAGCUUCUACAAGCACACAGCUGCCGGCAUCAAAGAGCAGAGCCCAGCCAAGACGAUCCUGGUAGCGCUGUCUGGACCUGCGUGUGGGCUGUAGACCCCGCAUAGGAGGACACUGGACUCAGCAUCAGACAACAGCUGUCUGGUCAGGGCAGCGAGCUUUCAUUCUGUGAGCUUCAUUCCUGUUGCGACACGUCCUACCCUGGAAAUGCUGAACAGGCUCUGAGAACCUCUGAAUUCUAUAUUGACUCAAUGAAGCUUCAAGACUCACCUGAGGGCACAGCUCUUAUUAGCACGGGCCUUCAUACCCCUCGAGCGUUUUUCCACAUUUACAGAUGCUGUGAGUGACCCAGUCUUUCCAGAACCAGCAUUGGUGAUGUUUUCCC